GGAGCAUGUGGUUUAAUUCGAUGAUACGCGAGGAACCUUACCUGAGCUCGAACGUAAGAUGACUGUAGGUGAAAGCUUACAUCUCUUCGGAGCAUUUUACGAGGUGCUGCAUGGUUGUCGUCAGCUCGUGCCGUGAGGUGUCGGGUUAAGUCCCAUAACGAGCGCAACCCUACCUUUAGUUGCCAUCAGGUAAUGCUGGGGACUCUAAAGGAACUGCCUACGCAAGUAGUGAGGAAGGCGGGGAUGACGUCAAAUCAGCACGGCCCUUACGUCCAGGGCUACACACGUGCUACAAUGGCCGAUACAGAGGGCAGCUACCUGGUGACAGGAUGCAAAUCUCCAAAGUCGGUCUCAGUUCGGAUCGGAGUCUGCAACCCGACUCCGUGAAGUUGGAUUCGCUAGUAAUCGCGCAUCAGCCAUGGCGCGGUGAAUACGUUCCCGGGCCUU
This 447-nucleotide ribosomal RNA is filed under the name uncultured Sphingobacteriales bacterium. RNAcentral's name for it is "bacterial SSU rRNA". It matches the Rfam family "Bacterial small subunit ribosomal RNA", at positions 934 to 1382 of the family's 1533-position model. Lineage: Bacteria; Pseudomonadati; Bacteroidota; Sphingobacteriia; Sphingobacteriales. The record is from RNAcentral.